UACGGAGGGGGCGAGCGUUGUUCGGAAUUAUUGGGCGUAAAGGGCGCGUAGGCGGCCGGCCAAGUCGGGUGUGAAAUCCCUCGGCUCAACCGAGGAACUGCACUCGAUACUGGCUGGCUCGAGUCCGGGAGGGGAUGGUGGAAUUCCCAGUGUAGCGGUGAAAUGCGUAGAUAUUGGGAAGAACACCGGUGGCGAAGGCGACCAUCUGGACCGGAACUGACGCUGAGGCGCGAAAGCCAGGGGAGCGAAUGGG
Molecule: ribosomal RNA, 253 nt
Filed under: uncultured bacterium
Lineage: Bacteria
Description: partial 16S ribosomal RNA
Rfam family: Bacterial small subunit ribosomal RNA
Source: RNAcentral